Molecule: ribosomal RNA, 36 nt
Filed under: Fomitopsis juniperina
Lineage: Eukaryota; Fungi; Basidiomycota; Agaricomycetes; Polyporales; Fomitopsidaceae
Description: Antrodia juniperina partial 28S ribosomal RNA
Source: RNAcentral
GGGUUACCCGCUGAACUUAAGCAUAUCAAUAAGCGG